This is a long non-coding RNA of Equus asinus (donkey), 2272 nucleotides long. NCBI's taxonomy places the organism in Eukaryota, Metazoa, Chordata, Mammalia, Perissodactyla, Equidae. The record is from Ensembl.
CCCCGCCUCGCCCGCCGGCCGUUGGUGGGCGGGGCGCUGGAGUCGGCCGGGGUCCCCCAAAUCCAGCCGGAAACAGUUGGCGAGUAAAUGUCUACGGGAUCCUUGUGUUGCUUCAGGCGUCCUGGUGCGCAGGGGGAUUUCAGGAGUGGACAGGAACCUGUUAGGCUCCUUACCUCGUGCAGUGGAGACAGGCGUUAAACACACGAAUGCAAGGAGAGCUGUGAUGGGUGCAGAUGGGGACAAUAAGGAGCUCCGAGUGGGGGGCGGAGGCGAACCUCACCUGGUCAAGGGGGUCAGGAAAGGCGUCUCUGAAGAAGGGAUGCCCUCCUUCCUCCCUCUGCCACGCGCGCGCACACAGAAACACACCCACAUAGACCAACAUACCAAAGAGAGAUUACCUUAAAUAUGUCUAUCUGCCCACCUCUUUUAGUGGCUAUAGGUAACGUGUAGCUCAAGGCCGGGAGAAAGACACUGAUCUGGUGGGUUUUGCAGACGACAGGCUGCUUGAGAUCCGCUGUGGGCUGAUGAUACCUCCUGGAGAUGCUCUCUUAAAUGUCCAGAUUUUCCCACUGGCAAAUGGGCCGGCAAUAUUGCGCUCACGUUCGGGAACGAGAUGCACGGUCAGCGUGUGAAAUGGCACAGCUGCGUGGCCUGCUGUUUGAAUGGGUUAUGACUAGUGACUUCUGUGAAUGCCAUGAGUGGAUGAAGUGGCGCUGGUGGAUCAGGAACCCUGAUGUUGCCGACAGGUCAUCCAGAUGCCCGUGUCUUCCGUGGUUGCCUAGGACAUGAGCAAGCAGGAAGUGAGGGCCUUUCCCCUCCACACAAGGGCUUCACUGUCUGCACCAUCAGUCCCCACUCUGACCCCAGGUCUUCAAGGAAAUGAAAACCUGCUCCCCCUUGCAAAAGGCACACCUCCAUAUGCAGUCUACAGACGUGGGGGACUAGACCAGUGGCAUGAUCUUGCCAUCCUCCUGCCAGAAGUAAAUGAAAAGAAUUCAUCCAAAUACCCAGACCAACCAAAGAGGGGGUCUGAGGGAGGAGAUCCACACUGUGAAAGGAGAUGAGAACUGAGGAGACUGAGGCCUGAGAAGUCCAAAGCUGAGGAUGCAAGGAGACAAGGAGGCAAGGAGGCUGGGGAGGUGGAGAAGGCUGAGGAGGCAGCAGAGGCUGCUGUGAAAAGAGGAAGGCAGGGAGCAGUGUCUGGCUGGAAGGGUGGGGUCCUUCAGGUAUAUCUGAGAGUAAGGGCCAAAUGGACCCUUUCAGAUGCCAUUGGUUACAAACCAGCCUGCAUCUUUAGCAAAUGAAUGUAAACAAGAGGCCCCACUUAAACAAGCCUCACAUUAACAGUUCCUGCUUCCUCUAACUCAUCCUAAUUUCUGAAUACAAAUACAAUAGUGAUUUCAUGUUUAGUCUCCUUUAUGUUGCAAAUAAAUAGCAGGCCAUGCCCAUUGUGUCAUUCUUUGUAGCCCAGAGAGUGCAAAUAUAAAAUGUAAAAUAAUUCAUCUUAAAACUGUGCUGUGAAAAGUGAAUCAUUUUGACAGAUGAUCAUCACUCUUAGGGUACUGAAUUUUUAAAGUCUAAAAUUCACAUGUAGGAGAUUUGGCUACUUUAGAAAGAUAUUUGAACUGAUUAUCAGUUCAUCUUGUUACCAAACCAGGUUCAUUCUUGCCCACCACCCAGAAAGCCAAACACCAAGACAACGGGAUUACAGCAGAGAGAGGGUUUACUCACAAGGCAGCCAUGUGAGGAAGUGAGACCAUGAGCCCCAAAUGCACUUCCCCAAAAAUAGGGUCUCAGGGAUAUUUAUGGGACAGGGGGCAAGGCAGUCAGAAAUGUGGAGAGACAUGAUUAGAGGUGAGGUAAUUGAUGGUCUGCACAAACAUAGUCAGACUUCAUGCCUCUUCAUAGGACCCAUGUUCACAAAAUGGUGGCAUUAGCAUGAUCUGAGGGUGGAGUUUUUAGCCUCUUGUUGUCAAAUGGUCACAAAUCGGACAUCUCUGCAGGCCCAGUUGAUGAUUUGGUGGUCUCAACUGGCCUGAAGUGGACGAGGAGUUCUAAUUCCUGAAAAACAGCUCACAUGCCCAUUACCAUGGUGACCUAGGCUCCAGAAAGAUGUUAUCCAUAGGAGCCUAGUGGGAGUCAGAUAGCAUAUUGCCUAAACAGCACGGUUAACAAUGGAUGGGUUAAACAGCUAAAAGCUAUAAUCAGUAAUUGCAAAAAGGAAAAAAAACUUUAGUUCCUAGCUACUUAAUCAUCAAUAGCUAACUUUCUG